AAGAGACGUUGCCCUUCGGGGUAUACCUCCCACCCUUUGUUUAUUAUACCUUUGUUGCUUUGGCGGGCCCGUCCUCGGACCACCGGCUUCUGCUGGUCAGUGCCCGCCAGAGGACCUAAAACUCUGUUUGUUAAUAUUGUCUGAGUACUAUAUAAUUAGUUA
This 162-nucleotide unclassified non-coding RNA is filed under the name soil metagenome. Its description in RNAcentral is "partial internal transcribed spacer 1". The record is from RNAcentral.